UACGUAGGGGGGCAAGCGUUUGUCCGGAAUCACUGGGCGUAAAGCGCGCGCAGGCGGCGAUCUACGUCUGGGGUGAAAGCCCAGAGCUCAACUCUGGGACUGCCUUGGAUACGGGAUCGCUUUGAGGAUCGGAGAGGCAAGGGGGAAUUCCACGUGUAGCGGUGAAAUGCGUAGAGAUGUGGAGGAACACCUGUGGCGAAGGCGGGUCUCUGGGCCGAUACUGACGCUGAGGAGCGAAAGCGUGGGGGAGCAAACAGG
This 258-nucleotide ribosomal RNA is filed under the name uncultured bacterium. RNAcentral's name for it is "partial 16S ribosomal RNA". It matches the Rfam family "Bacterial small subunit ribosomal RNA", at positions 524 to 776 of the family's 1533-position model. The record is from RNAcentral.